GGGGGCGUAGCUCAGUUUGGUUAGAGCACUCGACUGUCACUCGAGAGGUCGCGGGUUCGAGCCCCGUCGCUCCCGUCA
This 78-nucleotide transfer RNA is filed under the name Gemmatimonas sp. RNAcentral's name for it is "tRNA-Asp". It matches the Rfam family "tRNA". Rfam says of the family: Transfer RNA (tRNA) molecules are approximately 80 nucleotides in length. RNAcentral also lists the same sequence under 1 other name. The record is from RNAcentral. Lineage: Bacteria; Pseudomonadati; Gemmatimonadota; Gemmatimonadia; Gemmatimonadales; Gemmatimonadaceae.